CGGGGUGUUGCCCAGUGGUAGGGCGCCUGUUUUGGGUACAGGAGAUCGCUGGUUCGAUUCCAGUCACCCCGA
RNAcentral lists this transfer RNA (72 nucleotides) under Myxococcales bacterium. Its description in RNAcentral is "tRNA-Pro". It matches the Rfam family "tRNA". From Rfam's summary of the family: Transfer RNA (tRNA) molecules are approximately 80 nucleotides in length. Their secondary structure includes four short double-helical elements and three loops (D, anti-codon, and T loops). The record is from RNAcentral. Lineage: Bacteria; Pseudomonadati; Myxococcota; Myxococcia; Myxococcales.